CCUACGGGUGGCAGCAGUGAGGAAUAUUGGUCAAUGGGCGGGAGCCUGAACCAGCCAAGUCGCGUGAGGGACGACGGUCCUAUGGAUUGUAAACCUCUUUUGUCGGGGAACAAAGGCGCCCACGGGUGGGCGGAUGAGUGUACCCGAAGAAAAAGCAUCGGCUAACUCCGUGCCAGCAGCCGCGGUAAUACGGGGGAUGCGACGGUUAUCCGGAUUUAUUGGGGUAAAAGGGUACGUAGGCGGACAGUCAAGUCAGCGUGAAAACCGCGGGGCUCACCCUCGCUCUGCCUGUGAAACUGGCGUGCUUGAGUGGGCGAGAGGUAAGCGGAAUGCGUGGUGUAGCGGUGAAAUGCAUAGAUAUCACGCAGAACUCCGAUUGCGAAGGCAGCAUUCCGGCGUCCAACUGACGCUGAAGCACGAAAGCGUGGGUAUCGAACAGGAUUAGAUACCCUAGUAGUC
This 459-nucleotide ribosomal RNA is filed under the name uncultured bacterium. RNAcentral describes it as "partial 16S ribosomal RNA". It matches the Rfam family "Bacterial small subunit ribosomal RNA", at positions 338 to 795 of the family's 1533-position model. The record is from RNAcentral.